CAGCCGCCACGGUAAUACGUAGGGUGCAAGCGUUAAUCGGAAUUACUGGGCGUAAAGCGUGCGCAGGCGGUUAUAUAAGUCAGAUGUGAAAUCCCCGGGCUCAACCUGGGAACUGCAUUUGAGACUGUAUGGCUAGAGUGUGUCAGAGGGGGGUAGAAUUCCACGUGUAGCAGUGAAAUGCGUAGAUAUGUGGAGGAAUACCGAUGGCGAAGGCAGCCCCCUGGGAUAACACUGACGCUCAUGCACGAAAGCGUGGGGAGCAAACAGGAUUAGAUACCCGUGUAGUCCCUGUCUCUUAUAC
This 301-nucleotide ribosomal RNA is filed under the name uncultured bacterium. RNAcentral describes it as "partial 16S ribosomal RNA". It matches the Rfam family "Bacterial small subunit ribosomal RNA", at positions 509 to 807 of the family's 1533-position model. The record is from RNAcentral.